GGGGAUUUAGCUCAGUGGUAGAGUGCUUGCCUAGCAAGCACAAGGCCCUGGGUUCAAUCCCCAGCUCCA
Non-coding RNA from Rattus norvegicus (Norway rat), 69 nucleotides. The record is from Rfam. Lineage: Eukaryota; Metazoa; Chordata; Mammalia; Rodentia; Muridae.